This 141-nucleotide ribosomal RNA is filed under the name Dactylorhiza incarnata. Its description in RNAcentral is "partial 28S ribosomal RNA". It matches the Rfam family "Eukaryotic large subunit ribosomal RNA", at positions 1 to 141 of the family's 3401-position model. RNAcentral also lists the same sequence under 1 other name. Lineage: Eukaryota; Viridiplantae; Streptophyta; Magnoliopsida; Asparagales; Orchidaceae. The record is from RNAcentral.
CGACCCCAGGAUGGGCGGGGUGACCCGCUGAGUUUAAGCAUAUCAAUAAGCGGAGGAGAAGAAACUUACAAGGAUUCCCCUAGUAACGGCGAGCGAACCGGGAUUUGCCCAGCAUGGGAAUCGGGUUGCUAUGCGGCUCGA